GACGAACGCUGGCGGCGUGCUUAACACAUGCAAGUCGAGCGAGACCCCGCUUUCGGGUGGGUGUUCUAGCGGCGAACGGGUGAGUAACACGUGGGCAACCUGCCCUCAGCUCUGGGAUAACUCCAAGAAAUUGGGGCUAAUACCGGAUAUGACCGCUGACCGCAUGGUCUGGUGGUGGAAAGACUUAUCGGCUGGGGAUGGGCCCGCGGCCGAUCAGAGUGUUGGUGGGGUAGUGGCCUACCAAGGCGACGACGGGUAGCCGGCCUGAGAGGGUGGCCGGCACCACUGGGAAGGGGACACGGCCCAGACUCCGACGGGGGGCAGCGGUGGGGAAUGUUGCGCAAGGGGCGAAAGCCUGACGCAGCGACGCCGCGUGGGGGAUGGCGGCCUUCGGGUUGUAAACCUCUUUCAGAAGGGACGAAGCGAAAGUGACGGUACCUGCAGAAGAAGCACCGGCCAACUACGUGCCAGCAGCCGCCGUAA
RNAcentral lists this ribosomal RNA (483 nucleotides) under uncultured bacterium. Its description in RNAcentral is "partial 16S ribosomal RNA". It matches the Rfam family "Bacterial small subunit ribosomal RNA", at positions 28 to 523 of the family's 1533-position model. The record is from RNAcentral.